This is a long non-coding RNA of Erpetoichthys calabaricus (reedfish), 550 nucleotides long. RefSeq lists it as uncharacterized. The record is from RefSeq and is a predicted model, not a curated record. The transcript has 3 exons. NCBI's taxonomy places the organism in Eukaryota, Metazoa, Chordata, Cladistia, Polypteriformes, Polypteridae.
AUCCCGCCUGUAUGUGUUAACGCGCGUUACGAUAAAUACGAAAAUAUAAAUUACAUACAGAAUGACUGACCAAGCUUUAACUGUAAAAUACGUCAGUCAGUCCUAAAGACAACCCAGCAUCUCCAGUAUCCUUUUUUGCUGCCAUAUCCUGAAGAUGUACAAGCUGGGUAAACUGGAGAAUUUACUUUUGCCUGGUGUUUCCUUACGGACAUGUGAACGAGUAUGCCCUGUGAUAGGAUGGCAUCCAGUUCAAGGGUUCCAGUGCCCACAACUUUGAUAGGUGCCACAUGACCCCGAACUGAAGUGGGUUAGAAAAUGGAUGGACUGAUAAAUGUAUGAAAGAUGCUAUAUAAAGCACGGUUUGAAAGAAAGCUGGAUUUUUGUUCUUCCUACAGAUUAUUUUCUAAACCAUAAUAGUAAAACCGUAUGCACUUUCAGCUGUAAGAACAACAAUAUUUGGACAUUUUUGGGUGAUUUAUUUUCAAGUCGUAGGGGACUUCUUGUGCUUUUUUUUCCUGUUUGCAGGUUUCUGGUGGCUCAUUUAGCUUAG